GCGGUGAAAUGCGUAGAUAUUGGGAAGACCACCGGUGGCGAAGGCGGCUUUCUGGACAGUAACUGACACUGAGGCACGAAAGCGUGGGGAGCAACCAGGAUUAGAUACCCUGGUAGUCCACGCCGUAAACGAUGAGCACUAGUUGUUGGGUACGAAUGUAUUCAGUGACGCAGUUAACGCAAUAAGUGCUCCGCCUGGGGAGUACGGUGGCAACACUAAAACUCAAAGGAAUUGACGGGGACCCGCACAAGCAGCGGAGCAUGUGGUUUAAUUCGAAGCAACGCGAAAAACCUUACCAGGGCUUGACAUCCCUCUGACCGGAUCUUAACCGAUCCUUUCUUCGGACAGAGGUGACAGGUGGUGCAUGGUUGUCGUCAGCUCGUGUCGUGAGAUGUUGGGUUAAGUCCCGCAACGAGCGCAACCCUUGUCGUCAGUUACUAACAUUGAGUUGAGGACUCUGACGAGACUGCCGAGGUCAACUCGGAGGAAGGUGGGGAUGACGUCAAAUCAUCAUGCCCCUUAUGUUCUGGGCUACACACGUGCUACAAUGGCCGGUACAAUGAGAGGCAAAGCCGCGAGGCAGAGCAAAUCACCAAAACCGGUCCCAGUUCGGAUUGCAGGCUGCAACUCGCCUGCAUGAAGUCGGAGUUGCUAGUAAU
Molecule: ribosomal RNA, 659 nt
Filed under: uncultured bacterium
Lineage: Bacteria
Description: bacterial SSU rRNA
Rfam family: Bacterial small subunit ribosomal RNA
Source: RNAcentral